GGAGCGAACCCGAGGUGACUCAAGUAAAUUGAAUCCAGAGAUGUCCACUAUGGACAUUUUGUUGCUGAGUUCCGGAUUGGAUGGAUAUGUGCACUGCCCCUUUGCAUAAGAAUUGCCGUGCUGAAAACCCACGCACGCAUUGAUAUUCUGAACAGAUAUCACAAAACACCUGGCGCUUUUGCCAUUGAUCUGUGCCUAUCAGGAUUUGUCCAACAAUCCUUUCCGCCAUAAAACUGUGUGCCUAUCAGGAUUUGUCCGAGACUUCUUUGGUAGUGUACCAGGCAAUGCACAUGCUGCUAGAAGGAAUCCACCGUGGAUUUCAGUUCUCUAGGCAGUAGAAGGCAUGUUUUAACUGACAGUAGCAACUCGGUUAACGACUGCUGCAGGGUGCUGCGGUCGAGUUGCGUGGGGCGGACUUUGACUGGGACAAUUGGGCGGGGCUGCCGGCUGCUGAGCUGGCGGCACAGAGGGCGGCCACAGCGGCGCUGCUACGGGACGAGAGCCGGCCGAGCAUGUUCACGCGCAUGGGAAGCUGCUUGGGACGCGCGUCUGGGAUGUCCAAGAAAGUCGAAGCCAAGCCUGAGCAGGGUGCGCUUGCUCCUGCCCGGUGCAUUUCCUGAAGCUGCAUGUGCUCUUCCAAGACGAUCAUGCUGGUCAAGAAGGAGCUAAAGACGCCUUGUUCUCAAGCAUCAAAGUUGGCAGUGUGGAAAGUAGAUGCUACGCCAAUACCAGUAAUAUAGGGGUAUUGUUUGUGCGCUGCGUACAGGUAGUGAGGUGAAGCUGGAAAUGAACGGGGCCCGCUCAGAUGCGAA
This 812-nucleotide long non-coding RNA is filed under the name Coccomyxa subellipsoidea. Its description in RNAcentral is "long non-coding RNA (CSUB_LNC000133)". The record is from RNAcentral. Lineage: Eukaryota; Viridiplantae; Chlorophyta; Trebouxiophyceae; Coccomyxaceae.